AUUGAACGCUGGCGGCAUGCUUUACACAUGCAAGUCGAACGGCAGCGCGGGCUUCGGCCUGGCGGCGAGUGGCGAACGGGUGAGUAAUGCAUCGGAACGUGCCCAGUAGUGGGGGAUAGCCCGGCGAAAGCCGGAUUAAUACCGCAUACGACCUGAGGGUGAAAGCGGGGGACCGAAAGGCCUCGCGCUAUUGGAGCUGCCGAUGUCGGAUUAGCUAGUUGGUGGGGUAAAGGCUUACCAAGGCGACGAUCCGUAGCUGGUCUGAGAGGACGACCUGCCACACUGGGACUGAGACACGGCCCAGACUCCUACGGGAGGCAGCAGUGGGGAAUUUUGGACAAAGGGGGCAACCCUGAUCCAGCCAUGCCGCGUGCGGGAAGAAGGCCUUCGGGUUGUAAACCGCUUUUGUUCGGGAAGAAAUCCUCUGGGCUAAUACCCCGGGGGGAUGACGGUACCGGAAGAAUAAGCACCGGCUAACUACGUG
This 484-nucleotide ribosomal RNA is filed under the name uncultured bacterium. Its description in RNAcentral is "partial 16S ribosomal RNA". It matches the Rfam family "Bacterial small subunit ribosomal RNA", at positions 28 to 507 of the family's 1533-position model. The record is from RNAcentral.